This 440-nucleotide ribosomal RNA is filed under the name uncultured bacterium. RNAcentral describes it as "partial 16S ribosomal RNA". It matches the Rfam family "Bacterial small subunit ribosomal RNA", at positions 338 to 795 of the family's 1533-position model. The record is from RNAcentral.
CCUACGGGUGGCAGCAGUGGGGAAUAUUGCUCAAUGGGGGAAACCCUGAACCAGCAACGCCGCGUGGAGGAUGAAGGUUUUAGGGUUGUAAACUCCUUUUGUGAGAGAAGAUAAUGACGGUAUCUCACGAAUAAGCACCGGAUAACUCCGUGAAAGAAGCCGCGGUAAUACGGAGGGGGCAAGCGUUACUCGGAAUCACUGGGCGUAAAGAGUGCGCAGGCGGGUUUGUAAGUCAGAUGUGAAAUCCUGUAGCUUAACUACAGAACUGCAUUUGAAACUAUUAGUCUAGAGUGUGGGAGAGGUAGGUGGAAUUCGUGGUGUAGGGGUAAAAUCCGUAGAUAUCAAGAGGAAUACUCAUUGCGAAGGCGACCUACUGGAACAUUACUGACGCUCAUGCACGAAAGCGUGGGGAGCAAACAGGAUUAGAUACCCGUGUAGUC